This 410-nucleotide ribosomal RNA is filed under the name Geoscapheus rugulosus. RNAcentral's name for it is "partial 12S ribosomal RNA". Lineage: Eukaryota; Metazoa; Arthropoda; Insecta; Blattodea; Blaberidae. The record is from RNAcentral.
UAGAUACCCUAUUAUUUUGGAUUUAAAAAUUUAAACUUGAGUAGUAUUAGAUAUGGUCUUGAAACUUAAAGAAUUUGGCGGUAUUUUAGUCUAGUUAGAGGAAUCUGUUCCGUUAUCGAUAAUCCGCGUUGAACCUUACUUAGUAAAUAUGAUAUGUAUACCGCCGUUUAUUUGAAGAUCUUUUUAGGGUUAAUUUUCUUUAAAUUUAAAGUGAUUUAAUUUCAGGUCAAGGUGCAGUUAAUGAUUAAGUGGAGAUGGAUUACAUUAUUAAUAAAUAGACGAAUUAGAAUUUGAAAUUGUUUUAUGAAGGAGGAUUUAAUAGUAAUUAAUAAUAAGAGUUAUUUUUGUGAUUUUAGCUCUAAAGUGUGUACACAUCGCCCGUCACUCUCGUUAUUAAGAUGAGAUAAGUC